This 314-nucleotide small nuclear RNA is filed under the name Erinaceus europaeus (western European hedgehog). RNAcentral's name for it is "7SK RNA". It matches the Rfam family "7SK RNA". From Rfam's summary of the family: 7SK was discovered as an abundant small nuclear RNA in the mid-70s but a possible function has only recently been suggested. Lineage: Eukaryota; Metazoa; Chordata; Mammalia; Eulipotyphla; Erinaceidae. The record is from Rfam by way of RNAcentral.
GGAUGUGAGGGCGAUCUGGCUACGACAUCUGUCACCCCAGUGAUCGUCAGGGUUGAUUCGGCUGAUCUGGCUGGCUAGGCGGGUGUCCCCUUCCUCCCUCAUCGCUCCAUGUGUGUCCCUCCUGAAGCUCAGUAGGAAAGGACGGCCUUCCCUGAAUAGAGACGGACCGGUCUUCAGUCGAGGGUAUAUGAGUAGCUGCGCUCCCCUGCUAGAACCUCCAAACAAGCUCUCAAGAUACACAAACAUAGAAAGCACCGGACAAACAAAAGAUAAUACUUUGGAGGAAGCGCUGUUUCUAUUGAUUGCUUCUCUAG